CCAGUAUGGUUUGUGCUGCUCCC
RNAcentral lists this microRNA (23 nucleotides) under Danio rerio (zebrafish). RNAcentral describes it as "Dre-Mir-15-P2d_3p* (star (passenger))". The record is from RNAcentral. Lineage: Eukaryota; Metazoa; Chordata; Actinopteri; Cypriniformes; Danionidae.